GGAGUCUGGGCCGUAUCUCAGUCCCAAUGUGGCCGUUCAACCUCUCAGUCCGGCUACUGAUCGUCGCCUUGGUAGGCCGUUACCCCACCAACUAGCUAAUCAGACGUGAGCCCAUCCUUCAGCGAUAAAUCUUUGGUAUCCAGCCGAUGCCGACCGGAUACAUUAUGCGGUAUUAGCAGUCGUUUCCAACUGUUGUCCCCCUCUGAAGGGCAGGUUGCUCACGCAUUACUCACCCGUCCGCCACUAAGUCAAAUCCAAUCCUUGACGAAUCUCAGAUCGAAAGUGCUUCGUUCGACUUGCAUGUGUUAGGCACGCCGCCAGCGUGUCCUGAGCACGGAUCAAACUACU
Molecule: ribosomal RNA, 348 nt
Filed under: uncultured Ruminococcus sp.
Lineage: Bacteria; Bacillati; Bacillota; Clostridia; Eubacteriales; Oscillospiraceae
Description: partial 16S ribosomal RNA
Source: RNAcentral